UACAAAUGGAGGAUGUCAUCAUGAACUUCCUAUCUUUUGCAAAUACUCUCCAUUCUUCUGCUCUUAUAAUAGGCAAUAGGCAGUACUGAAGUUUCUUCGCAUGAAGAGCAAAGACUCCUACUCCUGAUGGCGCAAUUGGGGAUAGUCACGUGUUGGAUUACCCAAAGCUCAGCAGCAAGCAUAAUGAAUAAAAGUGACGUUCUAAGAUGAAGUGCCUAAGAAAUGAUGGGUGGGAGAGAAAUUUUGGUAUGUGACUCACCUCUUUCUUGUGAAGGAGUCCUCUCAGCUGUUCCUCACAGACUCCAGACGCUUCUCCUGGAAACGUCCUAGAUCGCCAGCGUCCCUUGUCCUGGAGGAAUGACUAUUACUGACGGGCAUUGAACUGCGGUUAUGGCAACCUUGGGAAGAUGAUUGACCUUGAAAGAAAGAAACCAAGAGGCGGUGGCAGGAAGUCAGGCCAGGCCAGCAGGCAGUGGAGGUGGAGAGAAGACUAAGGGAAGACGUCGCUUUAGGAGUGAUGGCGGUGGUGAGAUGCUGAAAUCGCCAGAUCAGAUGCUGUGUGUGGACCACCCACAAGCGCCACCUUCAGGCAGUCCCUCAGUACUGUUGCAGAAAUCCUGGGCCAUCUGGACUUUGCUUGUGAGUGGAAAUAUACAACCACCUCUCCUUGAUCUGUCUUGGCAAUAUGGUAAAAGAAUCUUCCAAGAAA
Molecule: long non-coding RNA, 709 nt
Organism: Suricata suricatta (meerkat)
Lineage: Eukaryota; Metazoa; Chordata; Mammalia; Carnivora; Herpestidae
Exons: 6
Source: RefSeq, a predicted model, not a curated record